RNAcentral lists this ribosomal RNA (193 nucleotides) under uncultured bacterium. RNAcentral describes it as "partial 16S ribosomal RNA". It matches the Rfam family "Bacterial small subunit ribosomal RNA", at positions 338 to 524 of the family's 1533-position model. The record is from RNAcentral. RNAcentral also lists the same sequence under 1 other name.
CCUACGGGAGGCAGCAGUGGGGAAUAUUGGACAAUGGGCGAAAGCCUGAUCCAGCAAUACCGCGUGUGUGAAGAAGGCCUUAGGGUUGUAAAGCACUUUCAAUUGGGAGGAAAACCUACCGGUCAAUACCCGGUAGCUUGACAUUACCUUUAGAAGAAGCACCGGCUAACUCCGUGCCAGCAGCCGCGGUAAU